GCGUGUGUCCAGAGUUGGCUCUUGGGUUCGCUCUAUGUAUUCAGUUUUGUAAAUAAUAUAUAGAUUAGAUCAAGUCGUGGUGUAAAAUUUUAACUCAAAUCGGGUCCUAUUGGUUGGAAUUUUACAUUAACUACAAAUAAAUGAUUAGGAACAGAAGAAGCUGGGCUUAUUGUUUAGUGGCAUAGAUUCUGCGUAGGUCUCUGCCUAUAUCUUGUGUUUGAUGCUUGUUAGUAAGGCAUGGGCUAAUGCAGUGAACUGCAUUUAUGCAAUUAGCACAUAACUGCUAGUUUUCAUUUUAUCUAUUAUAUUAGCAACAAAGUGGCAUUUAACUGGGUAAAGCUCCUACCUGAAUAUUUGAGUAUUGUGACAUCUCAGCUUGCAAGGUUUGAGUGAAAGGUUAGUCACAGAUUAGUGAUAGCAAAAGUGUCUUUCUGUUAAAACUGGCUUGUCUGUAUGAACCACUCCUCUCUCACUAGUUUCUAUGCUGUGUCUGCUAACAUUUCUCUUUUCUUUUAUAAUAACCAAACUUGUCAAACUCAGCUGCCAUAGUAUUCCAUUCCCACCAGAGUGUUUUAUAAGAGAUACUGUUGACUUUAUACCCCGAAAUGGGUCAAGAAGUGGAUCCAGGGAUGCUGACGUUGUGAGGUUACAGUAGUUCACUGGGACCCGAAGAGCUUGGGUGCGUGCACAGGGGAACGCCUGCUCCUGGACAAAGUGCUAUGGGGGUAUAAAGUCUUAGGUAUUUGUAUUUCCGCUGUGGAAAUAGUGAACGUGACUUUUAGAUGUUCACAGCUCUGUAUUUGAUUUCCAACUAACAACUAAUUUUAACUGUACUGUAUCUUUUCCUACCUGUUCUUUGGAUUGUUCUUGCUGGUAACCCUUCCUCGGCUUCUGCCCUGGGGCUUGGACUAAUACUGCUUGUACGGAUUCGCUACUGUGACUGAACGUGGAGCUCUCGAAGCUAUCGCUUAACUGCUUAAACUUUGUAGUUUGGACUUUUUUUUUCUGUAAUAACAACUUAUUAAAUCUAGUUGUACGAAGC
RNAcentral lists this long non-coding RNA (1042 nucleotides) under Rattus norvegicus (Norway rat). Its description in RNAcentral is "long non-coding RNA NONRATT003733". Lineage: Eukaryota; Metazoa; Chordata; Mammalia; Rodentia; Muridae. The record is from RNAcentral.